GACGAACGCUGGCGGCGUGCUUAACACAUGCGAGUCGAACGGUGAAGCUCCAGCUUGCUGGAGUGGAUCAGUGGCGAACGGGUGAGUAACACGUGAGCAACCUGCCCCUGACUCUGGAAUAAGCUCUGGAAACGGUGUCUAAUACUGGAUACGAGAAGGGUCCGCAUGGGCACUUUCUGGAAAGUUUUUCGGUUGGGGAUGGGCUCGCGGCCUAUCAGCUUGUUGGUGAGGUAAUGGCUCACCAAGGCGACGACGGGUAGCCGGCCUGAGAGGGCGACCGGCCACACUGGGACUGAGACACGGCCCAGACUCCUACGGGAGGCAGCAGUGGGGAAUAUUGCACAAUGGGCGAAAGCCUGAUGCAGCGACGCCGCGUGAGGGAUGACGGCCUUCGGGUUGUAAACCUCUUUCAGCAGGGAAGAAGCGAAAGUGACAGUACCUGCAGAAGAAGCACCGGCUAACUACGUG
This 468-nucleotide ribosomal RNA is filed under the name uncultured bacterium. Its description in RNAcentral is "partial 16S ribosomal RNA". It matches the Rfam family "Bacterial small subunit ribosomal RNA", at positions 28 to 507 of the family's 1533-position model. The record is from RNAcentral.